UAAUUCCAGCUCCAAUAGCGUAUAUUAAAGUUGUUGCAGUUAAAAAGCUCGUAGUUGAAUUUCGGAACCGAUGGAUCGGUCAUGCCAAUCGGUGUGUACUGGUUUGAUUGGUUCUCACCUUCUAAGGAACCGUGAUGUCAUUAAUUUGGUGUCGCGAGAAAUUAGGACUGUUACCUUGAAAAAAUUAGAGUGUUUAAAGCAAGCUCACGCUUGAAUACAUUAGCAUGGAAUAAUGAAAUAGGACAUUGUAUUCUAUUUUGUUGGUUUCUAGGAUCGAUGUAAUGAUUAAUAGGGAUAGUUGGGGGCAUUAGUAUUCAAUUGUCAGAGGUGAAAUUCUUGGAUUUAUUGAAGACUAACUACUGCGAAAGCAUUUGCCAAGGAUGUUUUCAUUAAUCAAGAACGAAAGUUAGGGGAUCGAAGACGAUCAGAUACCGUCGUAGUCUUAACCAUAAACUAUGCCGACUAGGGAUCGGAUGAAGU
RNAcentral lists this ribosomal RNA (480 nucleotides) under uncultured Glomus. RNAcentral describes it as "SSU rRNA". It matches the Rfam family "Eukaryotic small subunit ribosomal RNA", at positions 580 to 1063 of the family's 1831-position model. The record is from RNAcentral. Lineage: Eukaryota; Fungi; Glomeromycota; Glomeromycetes; Glomerales; Glomeraceae.